Molecule: long non-coding RNA, 873 nt
Organism: Brachypodium distachyon (stiff brome)
Lineage: Eukaryota; Viridiplantae; Streptophyta; Magnoliopsida; Poales; Poaceae
Exons: 3
Source: RefSeq, a predicted model, not a curated record
UUGAAAGCCGAUCGCGAGAGCCGGAGCAAGUAUAUUUUACUGUCAUAAAAUCUUUGUCCUAGUAUCAAAGUGCUGCGGAAACUAAUAUGCGCUCUUGUUCAUAGCCGGGGACAAUGCCCAAGUGGCGGAGCUCCUGAAGCGCGUCGCCGAGGUUCAAGAUGAGAAGACUCGGCUAGCAAAUCAGCACCAGGAGGACGUGGCUCGGCUGCAGGCGCCAAUUGCGGCGCAAGCGGAGGCGCAUAAGACCGAGGUGGGUGAACUCACCUCGGCCCUAUCUACCUAGGCUGAUGAGAGGAUCCGUCUGGAGAACGAGGUGCAGAAGUGCAAGGGUCUGGUCACCGAGAUUGAGACCCGCGCCAUUGCCGCCGAGAAAGAGGAUGCUGAGAAGACCCGGCUGUUCAAGGUUGUACGGCAUGAGCUUGUCAAGAUCGACACUAUGCUGACCAAAUUCUUUCCACAAUCAGUCGAGACCGCCCAAGCUGCCGUGCUCAAGGCCUCAACGAGUGGCAGGAAUCGGCCGCGCGUGUCGGCGCCGACGAGGCCUUGUCGUUCAUACUGUCAUGGUACGACGCAAUCAACCUCGAUGUGCUGCAGUCAUUGCGUGCCGGUUCCCCCUACCUCUCGGACCCGGAGCUGAUUGCCAAGCGCAAGGAGCGGGCCUAUUCCUUCAUCCAGUAUGCCGACGUGCAUACGUUUGUUGAGGGCCCAACAUCCGAAGCUGAGGCCGAGAUGACCGACGGCGAUGAAGAGGAGGCAGUGGACGAGGAGAUUGUCGUCGAGUCGGCCUCCACUGCGACGGAUGCUCCGAGUUCCGGCACCAACAACCCUCUGUUUCUUCUUAGCUUUGCCGGAAAAAAGAACUACCCUUUUGGA